RNAcentral lists this ribosomal RNA (446 nucleotides) under uncultured bacterium. RNAcentral's name for it is "bacterial SSU rRNA". It matches the Rfam family "Bacterial small subunit ribosomal RNA", at positions 330 to 792 of the family's 1533-position model. The record is from RNAcentral.
GCCAGACUCCUACGGGAGGCAGCAGUGGGGGAUAUUGCACAAUGGGGGAAACCCUGAUGCAGCGACGCCGCGUGAGUGAAGAAGUAUUUCGGUAUGUAAAGCUCUAUCAGCAGGGAAGAAAAAAGACGGUACCUGACUAAGAAGCCCCGGCUAACUACGUGCCAGCAGCCGCGGUAAUACGUAGGGGGCAAGCGUUAUCCGGAUUUACUGGGUGUAAAGGGAGCGUAGACGGCAAUACAAGUCGGAAGUGAAAUACCCGGGCUCAACCUGGGAACUGCUUUGGAAACUGUAUGGCUGGAGUGCUGGAGAGGUAAGCGGAAUUCCUAGUGUAGCGGUGAAAUGCGUAGAUAUUAGGAGGAACACCAGUGGCGAAGGCGGCUUACUGGACAGUAACUGACGUUGAGGCUCGAAAGCGUGGGGAGCAAACAGGAUUAGAUACCCCUGUA